AAGGAGAGGAGAAAGCUCUUGAAUGUUCGGUCACUUGGGGAAGAAAAAUUGAAGGUAAGUUCAUGGUAGUUUGCUUUUAUUUUGAGGUUCAUGAGUUCUUCUUGAUUCUACCUUAACUCUUGAAGCAUAUUUUGGUUUUUAGUUGUGUUGUGAGCAUUUGGUCAUGAAUUAAAAUGAAGGAAAUGGUUGUUGUUUCAUGUUCUUUUGAUGAAAAAUGGAAGAUAGGUGAAGUUGAGCCAAACAAAUGAGCAUGCAUGUGCCUUAGAUGCUAAGGGGAAAAAUCGGCUAACAUGUUGUGCUUUAAAAUGAUGAAAUGGAGACUAUACUUAAGUAAACUCAUAGAUAUGUGAUGAUUGAUUGGUGAUAUACAUGUUUAAAUAACAAGCAUGCAAGUUAGGUGUGAAAGAGUGAUUUGGUAAUAAAUCUGCUUGGGACAGCAGCAGUAACGUGACUUUGGAAAAUCACCAUAAAUUGUGGGAGAUGAGUUAGAAGCUGCAUAAAUUAUGUAAUUAAAGGUUAAUUAAUCUAGUUUUAAAUGGAAUAAACGAGAACAUAUUUUGAAUUCUGUACAAUGAGAAAUUUCUGUCUUCUCUGAUUUUAAAUGAUUGUAAAAUCUUCAAAAUAACAAUGCCAUGUUUUUUAAAUUAUUUUUAAAAAGUUUUUUGAGAAUUUAUAUUGCAAGAUUUUGUGCAAAAUGGCUAAAUUUUAUAUUUGAAGUGAAAAUUUUAAAAUUAAUUAUGUUAUAAAUAAAUUAGUAAAACAAUUUAGAAAUUUGUUAUUUGAUUAUUUUUAUGUACGGUUGUAUGUAAAUUAUUUGAUUAUUAGUGACAGACAUAUUUUAGGGACAUAAAAAUUGUAAACUUAUUGUAUAAGGUAUUUAGCAACAAAAUUUUAGAAUAUAUAUAUCUAAGGAUCCAAAUAAUUUUAUUUAAUUAGAGAAUCAGCCACAUCAACUUUAAUUAAAUGAAAUUAUUUAUUGCAAUAAGGAUUUCAUAAAGGAUUAUGGACAUUAGAUAUAGCACAAUAACUUAACCGCAAUCUUAAAUAAAGUUUAAGAAUAAAUAUCUUUAGUUUUUAUUAAAUGUUUUAUAUUGCUUGAUCACAUACGGAAUCUUUAGUUUAUUCAUAAUUAUCUGAAAACACCUAUAUGGGAAUGUCUGAUAACUGGUUGUUUUGCUCAACAACAUCAGGGCUUUUACAGUGUAGGCUAGGUGAUUAAUGUUGAAGCUGAUCAAUAUUUUUAUUCCUCUCCGAGACAAGAUUGUCCAUUUAUGAAACAUCUUCACUAUAAAAACUUCAAGGGAGGCUCUCCUGUCUUCCUUUCAUGUUUAAUGCUGACAUAUCAUGUUCCUUUUGUCUGGUUUUCCACAGUUACAAAUAUUCUUAUCUAAAUUUAGUUUUAUAUUGAAAUAAACUCUUAAUAUGCAUCAAUUUUAGGAUAGAUUACUUAUUUGGGUAUGAUAAUAGAACCAAAAGACUCUUGACUUGUAGAGAAGUAAUUAAAAGUUUUUGUCGGAUAUUAGUUUAGUAUAGGUUUAAAUUCUGUCCUACAACUCCCAUCUACUAGGAGGAUGAAAAACACAAAAAAUGUAAAACUAUUUUUGGUAAUGAUUUUUAAAAAAAUUAUUCAUAUGGAAAUAAUAAAAAAAUUACUCAACAACAUACGAAAAAAAAUAUUAGCCAUUAUGAAUAAAACGUUUAAUAAAAACUAAAUAAAAUUAUGAUAAUGAAAAUCACUUAAAAUUAGGAAUAAAAUGUUAAUUAUUAAAGUUAGAGACAUUAUCUUUAGUUAAAUAAAAUUAUUAAAGUUAAAAUUCCCGUACAAAAGCAUAGAUAUUAAAUUUCAUUCCAUAAUUUAUUAAGAUAAAAUUAUUAAAUGAUUUUCAUAGUUAUUCAUAGGAAUUAUGAAAAUGAAUUUAACAAUUUUUAUCAAAAAGAUGAUAAAUAAUUCUAUCAUAAAAUGGAUCUAAUUGAAUUAAAAUUUUAGUCCACAAACAAUUUUUAUGUCACUAGAUUCAUUAUUUAGCCCACAAAAAUCGCUGAGAAUUUCUAAAAAUUAAAUUUUCAAGAAAAUUCUUUAAUCAAAUUCAGGGGCAAGCCAGGAAAUUUCAAGUGGGGGGGGGCGAGAUAAUGAAAAAUAAUAAAUUUAAAAAUAAAAAUUAAUUAAAGAAAAAUAAUUUAAUAAGUAAAAAUAAAUUAGAAAGAAAUCUUAAAAUUUAUUUGAAUUGCACUCUUCGAUCCUUGACCUUACUAAAAUCAUCAAUUAUUUCGUUUAUAUCAAACUUUUCUGCAAUUUCUUUCUCAAUGUACAUAACCAAAGAACUUCUUAAAAAAUCAUCUUCCAUCUUGCUACGAAGUCGAGUCUUCACAAUCUUCAUAGCAGAAAAAGUACGUUCUGAGGAUGCUGUUGAAACUGGAAGAGUUAAUAUAAGACGAAUCAACCUGUCAACGAGUGGGUACAUGACUGACUUUCCACUUUCAACUAAGCUUCUGCAAAGUUCAGAAAGUGUUGAUAUUUUUCUCAAAUCAGGAUGCUUACAUACAUCAAGUUCAUAAUGCUUCAACUCAUAUGGGAGACCUUCUUUCUCUUGUUAAGAAAAAUCUUUUGGAUAGAACUUGUUCACAAGAAUGCAAAUUUUAUCAAUAUCAAAUAACUUGAAAAACUCCUUGGGAUUUAAAGCUGUAGUAAGAGUGAGAAGCUCGACAACAUUUUUGUUAAACCUGCUCUUCAAUUCUUGCAACUGAGUAUCUAUUGUAGCAAAAAAUAUAUCCACUCGAUAAUGAUGCUCCACUGUAACAUCUUCCUUCUUGUUGCGACUACGACCCACAAUGUAUUGAGCAUUCAUAUCUGGAAAUCCAACUCCGAAGUUUCACAAAAAGAUAUCACAUUUUUCAACAAUUCAUUCCAUCCAUCAUCUCUCAACUUUUGAAUUAAAUCUUUCGUUGUCAAAACUAAACUCAUGGCAUUUAAUAUAUCUUGAGAACGACGUUGCAGAGCUUGACAAAGGUUAUCAGUUUUCCCUAAAAUUUUCUUCAUCACAUGCAAAAUAAAAAUAAACUCAAAAGAUCUCAAUCUAUUAUAUGCGUUAUGAGCAUCUCCUCGUUGAGAAUAGUUAGAAGUGGUAUUUUUUAGAUUUUCAAGAAUUGUGCUAGUAGCAUUGUACAUCUUCAGUAAACUAGUAACUGAAUUUAAAUGGGAACUCCAUCGAGUCUCACCAGGACGUUGUAAAGUUCCAAUCUGAUUCAUUCCUGUUCCAGUUGCUAACUCAUUGAUGGAUACCAAACGAGAUAUUUCAGCUGCUUGGGCUUUUUGUAAUUCAUCGUGUCGUUUGGAAGAAGCCGAAGCAAUAUUAACAAUAUCAGACAAGUCUUUAAAAAAUUGAUGCACUUCAACCACUUCUCUAGCUGCUGCAACCAAAGCUAACUGAAGACGAUGAGCAAAACAGUGAACAUAAUAAGCAUAUCGACAAUCAUUCAAAAUAAAAGCUUGCAAGCCGUUAAAUUCCCCACGCAUAUUGCUUGCUCCAUCAUAGCCUUGACCUCGGAUAUUUUGUAUGUCAAAACUAUGUUGCAAGAGAACAUUAAAAAUUACAUUCUUCAAAGUCAAUGAUGCAGUAUCUUUAACAUGGACUAUAUCAAAAAAUCAUUCUUUUACCUGUCCUUGUUUAUCAACAAAUCUCAAAAUAAUUGCCAUUUGCUCUUUUUUCGACUCGUCUCUCGCUUCAUCCACAAUAAUGCUGAACUUUCUAUCACCAAUUUCUUCACGAAUUACAUUACGAACUCUAUUGGCAUAAAUUUGCAAUAUCUCUUUUUGUAUUGUUGAAGAAGUAUAACUAGCAUUUUGUGGAGCACUUUUCAAAACAUCUUCAACUUUCUCAUCAUACGAUGCUAAUAGUGAUAACAGUUCAAGAAAGUUCCCACGAUUUUUUGAUCCCGAGCUUUCAUCAUGACCUCUAAAAGCACACCCUUGAAAUGACAACCAUCGAACAACAUCUAUACUAGUUUUCAGACGUAGACGAAUAGCUGAAAUUUGUUGUGUAGUUUUACUAUCAAGUGAUACAUCAAUAUGUUGAGCUUGAUUCAUUAAAUCUACAUAAGCUCAUUGUGCAUUGUUAUGUAGUGAAUUCGGAUCUUUUCCCAUAUGUGUCAAAAAAGCACAAUUACAUCCAUCGUGUACCUUUUUCCAAUUACUAAAGCCAUUAUGAGUAAAUGUAGUUGAUCCAAAACGACUAGUUGGAUUGCUAUUAAAAAGAAAACAAGGCAAACAAAAUACUGCAUCUUUAGAAGGUGAAUAUUCUAACUAGGAAAAUUGUUUAAACCAUGAUGGUUGAAAAUAAUGAGGAUGCUUUUUUGAAUUGGAAGCAGGAUAUUCUGAAAGAAUAGGUUGAUAAGGUCCAGCCUUAAUAUAAGCUCUUUGAAUUUCAUCACGUAUAUUAACUGGAUACUCCUAUAUUUGCUUACGUAACCCAGGUUCACGUUCUAAGUUAGACAAAUCAAGUGCCUCAUCUUCAACUCUAGGAAUUUUAGAAGGACGAGCAUCAGAGUUUAAAGGAACAAACGAUGAAGGUGGUACCUCAAUUUGAGAUGCUUCUGAAGGUGAUUGUGUAGUCUCUGUACUUUUCUUUUUAAAAAACGAAUCAAUUGUUUUCGACUUCAUAACUACAAUAUCUUAAAAGAUAAAAAAAAAAUUAAUAACUAUAAAAUAAAAUUAAACUAUAAACUUUAAAACACAAUAAAAACAAAGUUAAUAACUACAAAAUAAAAUUACAAUCUAAACUUUAAAACACAAUAAAAACAGUUGUAAAAUUAUAAAAAGAUGAAAAGAAAAACCUUAGAAGAUGAACUCGAAGCCGCGUUUGAAGGAAAAAUGUUGAUGACAAUAGUUGUUAAUAGCAAUAGGAAAAGAGACUUAUUUUUCACUAGUUAACAAAUUGAAUUUUAACCAAGUUCACAUUUAAUAUUAUAUUAAAAACUAUCAUCUAAAAAAAGAAAGUUGGAAAUAUAUCAAUAUUAUAUUUAAUGUUAUAUUAAUGUUGAUUACAAUAAUAUAUUAUAUAAAUAUUUAAAGUUAAAUAGUUAAAAUAUAUUAUAUGGAUAAAAUAAAAAAAUAAAGUUUUUUUUAAUGUUCAAAGUUGGAAAGGGGGGCCAAACAACAAUUUAAGGGUGGGGGCAAAGUUUUAAAAUCUAAAGGGACUAAACAAUAAAUAUUUUUUUUAUAAUUUUAGGGGGGCCGGGGCCACUGCCAGCCCCCUCAGAUUCGCUACUGAUCAAAUUAUCUAAUUAAACAAUUCUCACGACUGCCCAAUUUAAUUCUACAUCAAAUUAAUCGACUCAGUUAAAUUAUUUUCAAAUUCAUAGAAUUUUCUUCCAAUUCAAACGUAGUCUGAUUGAACUUUUGUUGAGGGACCAAUCAAAUAUAUACAAUUAGACUCUAGUAAUUGCAAUUAUAUCUAGAAGCAUCAUUCCAAUAAUUCACAACUUAUUUAAUCAUGGAAGUUAGUCAACAAGAAGUAACAUGAUUGAAAACUUUUUAUUGUAUACCCUGCUUUAUCUAAUGACCUCGCCAUGUGUGUGUUAGCUUUGUAUGAUAUCCUUGAUUCCUUCUUGUUAAAUUUGUUCACUCAAUACAAUCUCAAUUUAUCUUAUUGUCACCAUUGUGUCCUCUCAAUAAUUAAUAUGAUUACCAUUAACAAAAGGCUGUGAUAAAUUGCUUGUUUGAGAAUAAGCAACUCGUGGCCACGUUUCAGAUUUAUCAAUCCACAUAAUUUCAAUUAGAGGAUAUCAUUAACUCAUUAAUCGAGCUAUGAAUUCUAUUAUUGCUAGUAAAGUCAUGUCAUACAUAAGUCAUGUAUCCAACAUCCUAGCUAUGGGCUCGAUCAUCUUCAAAGCAUAAGCCUCCACUUAUAUCAAAGCACACGGGUUACAUACGCAUGGUCAGUGACUAAUUCAGGAUUUAAGUAAAUCACGCCAUGAAUGUUACAAGUGAAUUAAUUCACAAAUGGAUUUAGAAUUAAUUCAACUUGGGUCCAAUCCAAUGUAUCAUUCUUCUGAUGAGUACAUUUAUUUCUCUACCCAUGAAUCAAUUGCUCCCAUAGCCAAGAAUAACUAUUUCCCCAAUUGAAAUUGUAAACUAUAUAUUAAUCCUUCUAAGUAUUUGAAUCAAACACCCACUUUGAUUCUUUUAUGAGAUUACAGACUUGUUUAGAUUAUCUAUUGAAUUAAGUUGUCUUUCUCAUAAUGUAAACAUUUUUACAGUGUCAAUUAACAUCAAUUUGAACUUAGGCAAUCAAUGAGCUAAUAUUUGCUUGUCACAGUGUAACACCCCCUAACCCUUAACAGGGUUACGGAGCAUUACUGGACAUUACAGAUCAAAUACCAAUAAUUCAUAAUUAUUCACACAUAAACAUCAUAAUUCAAUCAUAAAGUCCUUUUAUGAACCUUCGAGGCCCAAAACACGUGUUAGAAACAAAUCGGGACUUAACCGUGUGCUUUGAAAAUUUUUCGUGCAAUUUCAAAUUUUCCUAGAUGCAGGGGUCACAUGCCCGUGUGAUCAAGGAACACACCCGUGUGAUCAAGGAACACGCCCGUGUGGUCCUGAGACAUACCCAUGUCUCAAGUCGUGCCUUACCCCUUGCAACUCUUUGACUUACCUCACACGACCAAGCCACACGCUCAUGUACUAGGCUGUGUUCCUCACACGGCUGAGACACACGCCCGUGUCUCUGCCCGUGUGGCAAAACCUGAGCAUUUUUUUUGAAAAAAAUUAAAUUGCAAGGGACACACAGCCUAACCACACAUCCAUGUGUAAGCCGUGUGUCUCACAUAGUCUGGUCACACGCCCGUGGGUCAGGCCGUGUGGACUCAAAGUUAGCCUUAUACAUCAAGUUUACCAACCCUGCCAAUUUUGAUCAAAAAACAACUCAAAAACCAAUUGUUCAAUCAAUCUAGAACACAUUCAAAUACUUCUAAUAUAUGCCAAAUUCAUCAAUCUAAGAACCUAAUCAAAAUACUCUUUUAAAGAUUUCACAUAUAAUGUCUAAAUAAUUUAAUUAAACAUCAUUUAAACCAUUCCUAAAAUAUAUAUAAAUUUCAACCAAAAUACUUCACUAAAUUACUUAAAACAUGAAACAUAUAUUCACUUAUAUAAUUAAACUAAUUUCAUAUUAUAACAAUAUCAUUUACAAACAUUUUUCCAAAAUAACCAAUAUAAAACAUCCUUGGUACAUGUCAUUACCAAAAAGAAAGGUACUUCACCACUUUGAGUUCGGGGUCGGCUUUGGAUGCUGAUUUGGCAAUUCGACUUUAACCUAACCUACGCACGAAAACAAACCAUACGCUGAGUAUAAAACUCAGUGAUAUUUCUAUAAUCCGAAUACUUUAGAGAAAAUAAUAUUAUAAAGCAUACACAUUUAACCAUAUGAGAACAUUAAUCAAUCAAUAAUUCAAAUCUUCCAUAUAACCUUCAUUUCAUCAAUAGCUAAUUCAAAAAUAUUUUUCUCACUUUGAUUCACAUAACAUUUAGCAAUAGCAAUUCUCUUUUCAUGAACAUUUGAUUCAUGCAUUUCAUUUGCACAGUUCAAUUGAAUAACAACUUCCAGUUUCACAUCCAAUAUCAAUUUUAUUGCCAGUUCAUUUAUUUACCCUUAUUAACACAACUUGGACUUUGGUGGACACACGGUUCCAACCAAAAUACACCAGUAUGGCACCUAGUGCCUCAUCAGAUAAUUCGAAGUAUUAGAUUAACACCCAGUGUCUCAUCAGCCAUGCGAAGUAAAUUGGUACCCAGUACCUCAUUGAAUUUAUCUAAAGCAAUAGUUUGACACCCAAUAUUGUCUCAUCGACUCGUAGUCAAAGUAUCCUUGAACACUUCUAAUCCUAAGGCAUGUCAACUAUAUCCGACUCAACCCGACAUAGUUAAUAGGGUUUCAAAUCACAUUUCAAUUUCCAACCAAUAUAUAUAUUUUUAAUUAAAAAAUCACAAAGUCAAUUCAAUUCAAUUCCAAUACCACAAUACUAAUACUCAAAUAUCACAUUAAUCACAAUUACACAUACAUUCAAUUCAGUAUAAAAAAUGCUAACACUUACCUUAAUUUCUUAUCAUAAACAUUUAAAUCAAACACAACAAUUAAUAAUUAAAUUCAAAUUAUAGAAAUAUAAAUCGUAAUUCUCGAGCUAUUCCUUGUUAACUUUAUCUUUUCCUUUUUUAGUUGAGGUCUCCGGCUCAACGUUCGGCCAAUAAAAUCUCUAUCUUCUUGGCUGUCAAAUCCUUACCACUCCGAGAUGCUGUAAUUUUGUGUAUCUGCCCACUUUCUCGGAGCAUUUGGUUGCAUUUGGCAUGUCAUAACUAUUGUGAUCAAUCUGCACAUUUAAUUAAGCUUAUUUAAGUAAAAUUACAGUGCCAUGUCUGAUUCAUUAUUAUAUGAAGUAAUUUCUUCAUUAUUAUAUGAAGUAAUUUUCUUCAUUAAAGGGAAAGGAAAGUUAAGCUUACAGUCACAAAGAGUAGCUCUAAGGAAGGACAAAGUUCAAAGAAUGUGAUUAAAGCGUCACAAUUGUACAAUCCCUUUGAAUAAUUAUCAAUCCACCAUAGCUCCUUUAGUCUAUAAAAUUGGAAAAAUGAUGAUAGUGUUAAACAAAUUAAUGCCUAUAUUUGAAAAAAAAUCAAUUAAUUUGAAUUUAGUUACAUUCAAUAAAAAAUUAACAUUAAGUAAUAAUUUUUUAAUUAAAGAAUUCUUGGUUUCAUAAAAAAAAAAGAAAACAGAAAUAUAAGUAUUAAGAUUUAAAUUUCAAACUUGUUAGAUAUCACUUUUUAAAGAUAAUUGCAUAAAUCAACUAAAUUUAAUUUAGGUAUUGUUAUACAUUAUAAUCACACUAGAAGCAACAUAAUUUGAUAGAAAAAAAAGUCGUAGAUGCCUGAAUUCAAAUCUUAAACUAUCACCCCCUUAAAAGUGAUUGUUUGAAUCAAUUAAGCUAAAUUUCAAGUUUUUUUUAUUGGUUAGGACUAGAAACUAGAGUUGGAGAAAUAGAGAUAACAUACCUCAAAAGUCCAUUUGCACAAGUUAAGAAUUUCAGAAUUCUUGAUGGUCAGCAGCACUCGAUCAAAAUCACAUGUUUUGAAGGUAUUGUAAGCAGAUCCUUGCCUAGAAUCAGGCAUAGCAUUUCCAAGGUUGAAAUGAAACUCAGGAAGAAACCAUGGAUAAUAUGGAGAGAUUUUAAGUGUGGACGAUAAAAGAUGGUGAAGCUCAAAAGCUUUGUAUCAGAAGCAAUGCUCAUGGAUUCCAAUCCAUGGCAUCCAAUGAUUUUCAGGUUCUUAAGAAGCUGAAAUUUCGAGACCAUACACAAAGCUGCUUCAUUGCUAAGGUGGUUUACUGAUAUCAAAUUAAGGGUUAACGAAAAAAGUAGAGGGAGUUGGCUGAUGAUGACUUAUGAUUUUUGGGGUUAUUCAACUCUAUUUGCCAACCAAAAUGUGUUGGAUUUUGCAUGUUUUCAGCUGAGAAAUGAAGGUGAAGCUUAUUGUUAGGUGCAAUUAUGGUGCCGUAUUCGCUGCAAUGGAACUGAAAUCUUCCGGUAUUCCUUGUUGGAUUGUGCUCAUCAAAGUUUGCAAUGAGCCCAAAAACUGCAGUGGGAACAUCUUCUUUGGUGCCAUGGUGAACCAAUGCUAGGUUCCAUAGAAAUUUUUAUCGGGUUGAUAAGAAAAUGGUUUGGAUAUAGCAGAUUCAAAAGGGAAGUAAAGAAAUUAUGUAGAAAAGUAGUUCAUCUGGUAAACUACUUAUGAAAUCUUCUUUUCUUGGGUGGUUUGCAAAAAUGGUGCAAAAAUGGUGAUCAAUCACAAGAUCAAUAUCAGUUGCUUUUACAUACGGAUCUGAUGAGUUUAAACCUUAGCCAAAUUCAAACGUCACAAGCAACUUUGAUUUUGAUUAAUUUUAUACGGUAGCCAUAGGCCUGUUUGAUAAAACUUUUUAUUUAUGCUAAAUAAUUACAAAGAAAUGUUCAUUCAAAGUGUCAAUAAUGACAAGCACUUACUCUUGUCUUUUCCUGCCAAAUUUCGUUGGAAAAACCAUAAUCAAACCUGAUCAGUCAGAUGAAUCAGUUAAUCCAAGAAAUGACAGCUUAAUUGGAAUCAUAAAAUCAAAAACUGGUUCAAUGCGAAAAAACCAGUUGAAUAAAAAAAUUUGCUCAAGUUGUUUAAAAGUCUGAUAUAACAUGAUCCAAGCUAAUUUAAAUAUUUAAUUUAAUUUUUAUAAUUUAUAAAAUAAAUGUUUAUAUUAUUAUUUAUUGUGUUUAUUACUUUUUCUAAUUUAAAUUUUUUAUAUAUUUUCUAUAAUUAAAAAAAAUUAUUUUAUGACGAUGCAAUUAGUUGAAGUGAUUAAAUAAAAAAAGCAGUUGUCUAGUAGAUUUGAUCACAGAUAUGAUUUUUAUGACAUUGAGAAAAAUAAUUCACAUUUAGCUAAAAAUGGUUUUCCAAUGAUCAUGAAAGAAAUUACACCUAUUGAAUUUGAAACUUUAAUUUAUUCAGUGUUACCUAAUUUCAUAUUUUUUUAAUGUUAGGGUUGAGUUACUGAUAAGUUAUAUCUGUCAACAUAUAAUUGAAAUUAGAAAAGUAAAACAAUAAAUACGGGAAAUAGUUAUGCAUUUCAACUUUUUCCCUAUAUUUGCAAGACUUUGUUUAGAGAGUAGCUUUGCAAUAUGUAAUUUAAGUUCAAUUCAUUUACCAUAUUGUAAUUUCACUUCUAUAUAAUUAUUUAUUAGAAUCAUAAAAUUAUAUAUAACUUAAUGAUAAUACUCUAAAAUGACAUAUUUUUAUGUGUUAAUUACAUAUAUAUUUUGAGUACGAUCCUACUAAUUUGUGUUAUUUAUGGUUUUUUAUCUUGCAGGAAUUAAAUUAAAGGCAAAAAGAAAUUUGAGGACAAAAAGCGUAAAUUUAAAGACAAAACGGGUAUACCGUCCGACAAGCUCUGACGCAAUCGAGAGUCAUGGUGACCAUCGACCAUUGUCGACCCAAGGCAGGACCUACCGGUCCCGAGUGAAUAUACUGCCACCAAAAUGUCGUCUUGUUAAAUAAUCAAUGCCAAAAACUAGAUGACAAAGCAUAGUAGAAACUACUGAUAUGCUAAAAUCUUAUAGACUUGAGAUUUUGUUCUUUCAAAUUAACUCACAAGUAUUUUAAAGAAGGCGACUUUCUCUUUUCUAAAGAUGGAAUGUUAGAAAUUUUAUGUAUAUGUAAUUUGAAGACCAUAAUCUUAUUAUAUAAUUGUUGC
RNAcentral lists this long non-coding RNA (11255 nucleotides) under Gossypium barbadense (sea-island cotton). RNAcentral describes it as "long non-coding RNA (GBAR_LNC009708)". Lineage: Eukaryota; Viridiplantae; Streptophyta; Magnoliopsida; Malvales; Malvaceae. The record is from RNAcentral.